This 461-nucleotide ribosomal RNA is filed under the name uncultured bacterium. RNAcentral's name for it is "partial 16S ribosomal RNA". It matches the Rfam family "Bacterial small subunit ribosomal RNA", at positions 355 to 806 of the family's 1533-position model. The record is from RNAcentral.
UGGGGAAUUUUGGACGAAUUGGGCGAAAGCCUGAUCCAGCAAUGCCGCGUGUGUGAAGAAGGCCUUCGGGUUGUAAAGCACUUUUGUCCGGAAAGAAAUCCUUGGCUCUAAUACAGUCGGGGGAUGACGGUACCGGAAGAAUAAGCACCGGCUAACUACGUGCCAGCAGCCGCGGUAAUACGUAGGGUGCAAGCGUUAAUCGGAAUUACUGGGCGUAAAGCGUGCGCAGGCGGUUUGCUAAGACCGAUGUGAAAUCCCCGGGCUCAACCUGGGAACUGCAUUGGUGACUGGCAGGCUAGAGUAUGGCAGAGGGGGGUAGAAUUCCACGUGUAGCAGUGAAAUGCGUAGAGACGUGGAGGAAUACCGAUGGCGAAGGCAGCCCCCUGGGCCAAUACUGACGCUCAUGCACGAAAGCGUGGGGAGCAAACAGGAUUAGAUACCCUGGUAGUCCACGCCCUAAA